UGGGGAAUAUUGCACAAUGGGCGAAAGCCUGAUGCAGCAACGCCGCGUGAGGGACGACGGCCUUCGGGUUGUAAACCUCUUUUAGCAAGGAAGAAGCGAAAGUGACGGUACUUGCAGAAAAAGCGCCGGCUAACUACGUGCCAGCAGCCGCGGUAAUACGUAGGGCGCAAGCGUUAUCCGGAAUUAUUGGGCGUAAAGAGCUCGUAGGCGGUUUGUCGCGUCUGCUGUGAAAACCCGAGGCUCAACCUCGGGCCUGCAGUGGGUACGGGCAGACUAGAGUGCGGUAGGGGAGAUUGGAACUCCUGGUGUAGCGGUGGAAUGCGCAGAUAUCAGGAAGAACACCGAUGGCGAAGGCAGAUCUCUGGGCCGUAACUGACGCUGAGGAGCGAAAGGGUGGGGAGCAAAACAGGCUUAGAUACCCUGGUAGUCCACCCCGUAAACGUUGGGAACUAGUUGUGGGGUCCAUUCCACGGAUUCCGUGACGCAGCUAACGCAUUAAGUUCCCCGCCUGGGGAGUACGGCCGCAAGGCU
RNAcentral lists this ribosomal RNA (531 nucleotides) under uncultured bacterium. RNAcentral describes it as "partial 16S ribosomal RNA". It matches the Rfam family "Bacterial small subunit ribosomal RNA", at positions 355 to 895 of the family's 1533-position model. The record is from RNAcentral.